GCUAAAAAUAAAAUUUGUGAUGUGAGUGAAUACAUAUAUUCUUUAUUAACUCAAGAAGCAAAAAGAGUGGAUGGUACUGUAUAUCUGAUAGCUACCAUAAUUUCAAAGAAGUGAUGAGUACACACAAAAUUUUGAUAUAACUUUCAACAAUUGUGAUGUGGUGGGGUUUCUUGGGCUGACUUGUUGUUUGCUACCUACAAUCACAAUGGAACAAAUAUCUCAGUUAGAAGUUAGCAAAAAUAAUGAUGUCAUUUCUUUCCAUCCAAGUUCUUGGACCCAAGGUUAAGAGCACCUUGUCUAGAUGUGUGAGAGAUCCAUUCUCACACUCCAGUGUGCUUGAAAGGAAUCUGGAGGUUGGGAUAAGAUUCAGAACCUCGGAUGUUAAAAUAGAUACGUGUUUGCAAUCCACAGUCUAUAAUAUGUAUAUGCAAUAUUCUUGAGGAAAAAAAAAGAAUACACAGACACAGUAAAUGCAGUUUCUACAAUUUCUCUAAUGUAAGGAAAGGUCAAAAGAUUUAACAAAAGCCGUAUUUCAAUGCCAGCAUUGUCUGGAGAAAGUUAGACGUGAGAGGGAUGGUACUUCUUUAUUGUAAGAUUGAAGAAGAGUAUCUCUUUAUGCAUCUUCAUUUCUCAAGGAGGGAAGAAAUGAGCUCCCCAUCCUCAUUGUCUGGAAUACUCAUGGUUAAGAUCUUUUAAAAAAAGUUUGGUGGGGUGGGUAAAACAUAAUAGAAUUAUUCCUUAUUCUCCUUCUGAAAGGGAUUACCAUGUUGGAUGUAAACGUUAAUCCUGACCUCCAUCCCAACCCUGGAGAAGUGUGAACACUGUAAACUAAAGGAGAGAAAAUUCAAUUUCUCUCAUAUGGUCUAGAUAAUAUGCCUGUGAAAUCUCAGUUCCUUUGAACAACGGAAAAUUGCUUGAAUAUUUAAACAUGCAUUUGUUCUUGGGAAACAAAAUGUUCAGCUCUAGUGGUUGCCACAGCAACUGCCUGGGCUAAAAAUACAGAAUCCACCAUAAGAAGAAAAAGUAUGUACCAAGCGGGAAAGAAAGAGAAAUUGGGAAGUCUCCCAAAGGAAGAUCAUUGGCAGGAAUCAACCUGCAAAGACAAGGAAGGAGGUUGAUCUUGUGGAAAACUUUUUCCCAUGGGGCAAUGUGCUCAGAUGUUGUCACCUGUAAUGAAAGAGCCAUCUGGUACCAUCAUGGGAGCCAGCCUAAGAGGACAAACCAAACUGCUGAAGAUGACAGAGUAGAAAGAUGGAUGGAUAGUGGGUCCUUGAUGACAUCACAGCCACUGAAUUAACCAACGUUGGAAGUUCUCCGACUCUGGGCAUCUCCUUAAGAGAUAAAAUAAAUAAUCUGUUGUUUACUUGUUGUUUA
This is a non-coding RNA of Equus caballus (horse), 1374 nucleotides long. The record is from RefSeq and is a predicted model, not a curated record. Lineage: Eukaryota; Metazoa; Chordata; Mammalia; Perissodactyla; Equidae.